Molecule: RNA transcript, 783 nt
Organism: Nomascus leucogenys (northern white-cheeked gibbon)
Lineage: Eukaryota; Metazoa; Chordata; Mammalia; Primates; Hylobatidae
Exons: 2
Source: RefSeq, a predicted model, not a curated record
AUGGUUGCUGAGCACGGGCAGACCAGUGCAGGCCACCCUGCUAUCAGCCACAGCCUGGUGCCUGCAGCCCUGCUUUGCUCACCCUUCCCUCUCCUUCCUUCCACACAGCAAGCACACCUUUCUCCAUGCACGCUCACCAUAGCCCCCUUCCUUGUGACCUGGACCCUCCAUUGUACCUGGCUGAGACUGUCAGCCUCCUGGAGGAGUGGGGUCCACCUUCUUCUUCCCCUAUGCAGUGCAAGCUCACUUCUCACCCAGCAAGGUCGACUCAUCUGCCUCCAUGUCUCUGGGGCUUUGCUGUUGCCCUGAAACCUAGCUGGGCUGGUCUUGCUCCCAGCUUGCUUCCCCAUCCUCGGAUGUCCCUUUGCAGGCCCGUGUCGUUCCUCCGGCACCAGUGUCCUUGGCUGCCACGGCAAGCUCAUCAGGGUCUUGUAUCCUGGUCACCAAGCAUGGUAGCAGCAGCCUGCAUUGUAUCUCCAUCUGGUCACUGCAGGUGCCAACCCUUCAUCCCCCAUAUUUUCCUGGGCCAUGAAGGGCUGACCUCCAAUUCUGGGGAAUGUGGCUGAUCUGUGGUAACCAGCUACACCCCAGGUGCUCUUUCCAUGGUGGUGCCUCCUCAUCUUGCUGAUGCAAACUAGGAAGUUAGGCUGCAUCUCGGAGUGGCCUUCGCUGGAGAGGUGCUUUGCUGUCUCUGAGACUCAGUCACUGUGUUCCCUCCCCGCCUCUCUUAUCUCCCUGGCUGCUUGCAGCCCUUCCAGGUACUUUGGGGUCUGAGCUGGACUU